CGCGGAGUGGAGCAGUCUGGUAGCUCGUCGGGCUCAUAACCCGAAGGUCGCAGGUUCAAAUCCUGCCUCCGCAA
RNAcentral lists this transfer RNA (74 nucleotides) under Defluviitalea saccharophila. Its description in RNAcentral is "tRNA-Met". It matches the Rfam family "tRNA". From Rfam's summary of the family: Transfer RNA (tRNA) molecules are approximately 80 nucleotides in length. Their secondary structure includes four short double-helical elements and three loops (D, anti-codon, and T loops). The record is from RNAcentral. RNAcentral also lists the same sequence under 1 other name. Lineage: Bacteria; Bacillati; Bacillota; Clostridia; Lachnospirales; Defluviitaleaceae.